CCUCCUGGUGCUGGCUCUGCCCCCCAUGUCCCAUGCCCCAAGUAGGGGGCGAGACUCAAGCACUGGCAGG
Molecule: microRNA precursor, 70 nt
Organism: Bos indicus x Bos taurus (hybrid cattle)
Lineage: Eukaryota; Metazoa; Chordata; Mammalia; Artiodactyla; Bovidae
Source: Ensembl